UUUAACAAAAACAUGUCCUUUUGAGUUUAAUUUAAGGUCGGGCCUGCCCCCUGAUGAAUAUUAAAGGGCCGCGGUAUUCUGACCGUGCAAAGGUAGCAUAAUCAUUAGUCUUUUAAUUGAAGGCUGGAAUGAAUGGUUUGACGAAAUAUUAACUGUCUCUUUAUAAUUAAUAAAAUUUAACUUCUGAGUUAAAAGGCUUAGAUAAAUAUAAAAGACGAGAAGACCCUAUAGAUCUUUAUACAUGGAUAUAUUGAUUUUGUUUAGAUGUAAUUUUAAUGAAUAUAUUAUUGUAUUUUGUUGGGGUGACAUGAAGAUAAAAUUAACUCUUCAUUAUUAAUACAUUGAUUUAUGUAUAAUUGAUCCGUUAUUAACGAUUAUAAGAUAAAGUUACCUUAGGGAUAACAGCGUAAUUUUUUUUGAGAGUUCUUAUCGACAAAAAAGAUUGCGACCUCGA
This 454-nucleotide ribosomal RNA is filed under the name Eupholidoptera mersinensis. RNAcentral's name for it is "partial 16S ribosomal RNA". It matches the Rfam family "Bacterial large subunit ribosomal RNA", at positions 1803 to 2529 of the family's 2925-position model. Lineage: Eukaryota; Metazoa; Arthropoda; Insecta; Orthoptera; Tettigoniidae. The record is from RNAcentral.